Molecule: long non-coding RNA, 2023 nt
Filed under: Gallus gallus (chicken)
Lineage: Eukaryota; Metazoa; Chordata; Aves; Galliformes; Phasianidae
Description: lncRNA (ENSGALG00010002162.1)
Source: RNAcentral
AGUACAUCAGUAUUCAGGAGUCCAACUGCCAUUUGCAAAUCUGUGUGGAUGAAUGCAGUCCAAAAUUUACAAGUUGGAUCUAAACAUCAAAUUCUGUUUACUGUAGAAUUUAAGAUUUGGAGGGCAGCCCAGGGUAAGAGUGGGACCUUUAGGCACUUGAACUUCACACUGAUGGAGCUUGAGGAGCAUCUUGACAGCGAUGGAAAUGAACUUGAGAUUGAAAACUGAAGUGAAGAGGAGCAGUUCAGCUAAUGCUGUGGCUGCCCAAAGUACAGAACAUUGCUGGAAUCAGCUGCAUCACAACUCCGGUCACUCAUGAUGAACGUCAGCCUCUGGAGGGCAAACCAGCAACAGUGCCACUUCCACUCUGGCAGACAGAGUACUUAGGGAAGAAACGUGCAUCACUGGAAAUAUCCUUUGUGUUUCAAAACUGACCUCUCUCCCCUGAAUGCACUUCACAGGGCAUGAUGCUAUCGGACGUACACAGAAGUUAGUGUGUGGAGAAUGAACAAAAGCAUAGAUAAGUUGUUAUACGCAGUCCCGGAAGGAGCUGUAUACCUGCUUAGCUUCAUAUUAACUGGGAUAACAGAAUGCAGUAAUGAGUAAAUAUUUAUUGUCAGCAUAGGAUUUUGAUGACAAUAAUAAGAGUUCUUCUGUGGGUAGCCCCUUCAUUGCUCGAGCAAUGGAAGGAAAUCAAUCCAACCCCUGAACCAUAGGAAAUGUGGAUCUGAUCUUCACCAGCCUGCUGGGUGCCUGUAACACACUCAAAGUGUAACCUUACCAAGCUGGUUCUGCCACAGAUACUAUGCUGCAGCUGAUAGCCUGCUCCUCUGCACAGAGGUGCAGCCAGAUCCCUGACUUUCAGCACUCCGCCAAUGAUUCCCAUUUUGCCUUGGGUAUAAGCAAAUAGUUAAAUUUCCCAAGAGCAAUUCACACAUGUGGUGACAUUUGUUAGUGUGUGUCCAUCCUUGGCUGAGCAGCUGCAUGCUUUGUCUGGUGUCCAGAGUCAAAACUUGUGCAGACACAAGUUGAUGGAGGUCCAUUCAAGCUUUCUUCUUCCAGUAGCUGAAGAGAACAAAUGAAAUACUUUCUCUUCACAUCACUUAUAUUUUCCUGGAUCUAUGCACCCUUUUGAGGGUUCCAGAUCUCUCAGUUGGCAGAUAGAGGCCGCUCUCUGUUGCGGCUCAGAGGAAUGAAUCACUGGAAUGAUUCUCUGCAGAGAUGAUACAUCUCAUCCAACUGUGUUCCUUUGUGGCACGAAUGCAGAGAAAGGGUAGAGGACAUCCACCAGGCAUGUACCCUACUUAUGUGUAAAGAUGAUAAAAUUGAGAAGCUGUCAGAUUGUACAGUAAACUACUAAUUAAGUAGGAAUCUAAGGAACGCUCUAUGACCUAGAUGUUCAACCUAACCUGAGCUGUGAAACCUUGCAGUCCAUCCAGGAAGAAUGGUUACUUGGCUUUUUUUUCAGAUAGCAACUGCUACUUUAGGUGUCUUCUGCCUCAGUCUAGGCUGACAUUACAAAGUCUAACUUUACAGACUCAGUCAUAUUUUGCAUUUGUUUGGGUGAGUCUGAAUUUCAUCUGCAAUGAAAUAAAGAAUUGGAAGCAGGACAAUUACUUAGGAAACUGAAAAUGCCAGAGGAACUCUUGGAUGUGCUUCUCUUCCCCAUCUUACUGCAUGCAAACAACAGCUUUCCUUACAAUUUUCAGCAGAAAGUAUUUGGAACUCUCAUUUUGACUUCCUGAUUUGAGUGUGUGCUUGAUGCCAUACAAGAGCCUACAGUUACCAGAAGCGUUGAAACAUAAUGCUGUGCUUCAACAUGAAUAUUCAAGCUCUUUCAGGAGGACACUGCUAAGAUCAUUACAAUUGCUAAUUAUAAAAAGUGGUAGCCAAAACUCCCGCUUCCUUCCAUUAUUCUUACAUCCUGCAGAUGUCCUGAUUUAGCCAGUUAAUCACUGGAUUCUCUUGGGAAUCAUCUGGUUGUUCAGUUGCAUUGUUGUCUUUUUAUUAAAAAGUUGCUUUG